Long non-coding RNA from Juglans microcarpa x Juglans regia, 100 nucleotides. RefSeq lists it as uncharacterized. The transcript has 3 exons. Lineage: Eukaryota; Viridiplantae; Streptophyta; Magnoliopsida; Fagales; Juglandaceae. The record is from RefSeq and is a predicted model, not a curated record.
AGGAAAUAACAAAAGUAAGAUUGCGUUUGGGUAGUGUGGUGAACUCAGAUAUUCUAUGAAUAGUAGUGAAAAAAGUAAUGAUAGAAUAUUAAAUAAUAGU